This 3445-nucleotide long non-coding RNA is filed under the name Capsicum annuum. RNAcentral's name for it is "long non-coding RNA (CANN_LNC007590)". The record is from RNAcentral. Lineage: Eukaryota; Viridiplantae; Streptophyta; Magnoliopsida; Solanales; Solanaceae.
UCACGGCUUGGGUCGUGACAUAAGCUCCGCGGCACAUCGCGAACCCUUGCUGGUUCCUCAUGGAAAUGCUCUAAACUUUUCGCUCGGGUAUCGAAUUAAGUAGAAAUCGAAUGCGUUGGAAAGAGGACUCAUUUAUAUUUAAUUUGGUAGGCCUUGAGACCCAAAAUUUCACAUAUUUCAAAAGUUAUACACGUUCAAAGUUGAUCCUUAUAGAAUUUGUUUUGCGGAGAAAUUUUGACUUUUUGAAUAAGCGGUUCCUAUUAACGUUUUAGAAAGGUGUUAAGACACCUAAAAUGUCCGCUAACUUGCGGUUAUCCGGACUGUUUGAAAACGUCUUUUGACUAACUUUGAAAGAAGUUGUUUUUUGAAAAGAAAACCGAUUUUAGGAAUAUUUUGGAGUUUAUGCAAAACCAGUUUUUAGUGACUUGACUAAGAAUUUAACUAGGUUCACAAAACACAUAAGGCAAACAAGCGUAAAGAAAAAGGGGAAGGGGAGAAAGUAAGGGAUUUAGGUCAGUGGGCCCAAAUCAAUGAGACCUGUCCUAGCCAAAUUGGGCUUUCGUCCAUUUCACCUGUCCUAAUCUAGUUUUUAACCCCUUUUGGCUCGAGUCUCGCUUCACCUAUAUUAAAUUUAUAACUUUAGCUUCGAGGUCCAAAUGCAAGAAUAAAGGAAUAAAUAAAUAAAUACGACAACAAUAGAUAAAUAAAGACAACAAAUAAAUAACCAAAACUGACGCUCGGGUUUCGUCGUCACUUCAAGAAUGGGACUUUAACCCAUUUUCCUUCUUUCGACUCCUUGUAUCCAUGCACUACGGGAUCACUUCUGAACUUAGAACUUUGAAAAAAUGACUUAGGGCUAGACGGGCCUCAAUGGCCCAUAAUGCACAUGCAAUGGGACUCAAACUCAUCCACAUACAAAAAGAGAAGUGACGUAAUUAACAUAUAUCCGAAAGUUAAUAUUUAAACAAAUACUAAAUUAUCAUGUAUAAAAAAAAACAUGCAAAAUUAGUUUAACAAAAGUAUCUUCCCAUUAUUAACAUACAAGAAAACCGGCUUAGAACUGUACCCUAUUACUUAUUUUCUAAUAAUUAGUAUGAUGAAUGUACCUUGGUAUACACCAUCUGGGAGCAAUUCAUGAAUACAAGCCUUGUUUACUUAGCAAAAAGAGUUGAAUACGCAGUGGGAUUGUGUAGAGUACUAACAAGAUGGGGCAUGCACAAUAGAAGCAUAUUACUUAUAGAUAUAUACAUGAACAAACAUCACAGCAGGUUAGUAUUCAACUGUCAUCAAUACCCAUUUGACAUAGUCCGGCAUUGCAACAACAUUCAAUGUAAAAGAUAAUUACCCUAAACAACUAUCCAUGUGAAUAUAUUUUAUUCUCUUUCCAGUUGCUUGAGGUUUAAGAUUUCAAGUAAUGGAAUCUUUAUUCAAGUCUUUGAUUCACAGAAUGCAACAGAACACUAAGAAAAGAAAAAUAAAACUAGAAAUAAAAAAAAUCAGCCAGCUAUUACAUGUUGUCACUAAAAGCACUUGCGAUUGAGAUUUGCAAAGACCUUGAUCCCUGUCUUCGGAGGUAUAUCUUUUACGUAUCCUGAUUACACCCUAAGUUCUAAAGGGAACUUUCUUAUUAGAACUGAUGCAUAUGCAUUUCGAAUGCCUUUUCCUUCACCAACAGAUAUGAAUAAAACAACACUAACAAACAUUCAGAGACUUUGGAUGCUUCAAAACAAAGAUGCCUCUCUAAAAGAGAUCUUCAGCAACUAAAGUUUGUAUUCUAAUUCUAUUGCAUUGCAAAAGGUUCAAUGACCUCUCUUUAAUUCUAAUUGUUUAACUAAUACCAAAAGGAAUAAAAGAAAACAGGUUCAAAGCAUGACAUCAUUUUAGAGAAUUGAAUACCAACACGAUUUCAUUUUAAGAGUAAAAUAAAACAGCCCAACGAAGAUUAUGACAAGAUGAAAAGAUCCUUAAACAGACUCAACAAUCGAUCCAAUCAAAACCAAUAGUAUGGCUCAAAAAUCUCCUCUACUCAAGUAGCCCAAAGACAUGCAGUUUUCGGUAAUUGUAUGGAAAGCUUGCAACAAGUAGAAACAAUAACGAGAACAGGGAAGGAUGAACAUUUCUUAAUCUUAAACAAAGAUAAAAUUCCAUCUUGGGUAUAUAAGAUCUCAUAUCAUAGAGCAACGAAUCUAACCCCAAAAUUUGAAAAUGCAGCGUACAAAGUGGAUAGAAAUAUUUGCAUCAAGCAAGCACGAAUAUUGAAUAUACUUAGCUGAACAGAGAAAAAAUCGAGUGCCUAAACAAAUCUUAUGGUCCAAUUACCUAGAAGAGCCGAUUAUCACAGAUUACCGAAAGGAGAAGAACAUAUGCAACUAAUCGAUAGUUAUUCAAAUAAAAAGAUGAGAACUUAAAAAUGGCUAUAACUUGACAGAUUAUUACGCGGUGUAUUACAACAAAACAAAUUCGACAAUAUCAAUCCAUCAGUGAAUCGAAAAAACAGAAACAUAAUCACAUAACCAUAACGAACCCCACAUCAAUUAUUUCAACACAACAUCCUACUGCCUUUGUAGCCUCUACAGUAUAUAACCCAGCAUGCAAUAUCACUAAUACUCGCAACUACAGAAGGUUGAGAUGAAGUAGACAUAGUCAAAAGAUAAGCGAAAUGGGGUGUUACCUUUUUUGGAGCAGCAAAUAGGACUAAGAGCUAACUGUCGAAAUCCGCCACCACCGGAAAUCAGCGUUAUCAACUUGAUAAUCUCCGAUUAGUCAACCAACUUUCAGAAAGAAGAACGAAAAAGAAAGUUUUCACUAAGGGAACUGUUUUGAUCCCAAAAUUUUCUCCCACCUCUUUUCGAACCCAAAAAAUUCAAACCAAAAAUCCUCAGAACCUUUACUUUCCUUAUCAGACCUCAAAAUUUCCCAACACUAGUUUUUCAACCUAAGAGCCUAAAAGAGAAAAUCCCCCUAUUCCCAGACCCAAAAUUUCAAACCCUAAAAACGGUGACCCAGAAGAAAACCAUCCUCUCUUUUCUUGCUCCAGAGAGAGCUAUUUAUAGAAAGGGGGAUUGAGGGUUCAUUUUUUGAAUUCAAAAGAUGAGAAUGCUAACAAAUCGUACCCCCUUGUUGAUUUUCAUGAACGGAUUUCCAAAAAUGGCCAAUAGAAAUUUAAGAAAAUGGAAUCAUCUUCACAAGCCAAUGAAAAUUUUCCACCCUUGUACGAAAUCGUACAGCCUCAUCCGAGAUUCGCGAGGGUGAGCCAGCUCACCCAUUUCUAUAAACUUUCUUGAAUUUUUGUAACAAACACACGCCAUCUAGGCGGGUCGACGUUCGGAAGCUGUUUUUCGCCGAAUUUCGGGUUAAGGUUGACUGGACGAGUCGCGAAGUUGAUGGAUUUUGGUCGAUUUUUGGCUGGUUGUUUGCUGAAGGUCGAUGUUGUUGAUGGUUUGUU